UACGUAGGGAGCAAGCGUUGUCCGGAAUCAUUGGGCGUAAAGCGCGCGUAGGUGGCCACAUAAGUCCGUUGUGAAAGUCCAGGGCUCAACCCUGGGAUGCCGGUCGAUACUGCCGGACUAGAGUUCGGAAGAGGCGAGUGGAAUUCCCGGUGUAGCGGUGAAAUGCGCAGAUAUCGGGAGGAACACCAAUGGCGAAGGCAGCUCGCUGGGACGUUACUGACGCUGAGACGCGAAAGCGUGGGGAGCAAACAGG
RNAcentral lists this ribosomal RNA (253 nucleotides) under uncultured bacterium. RNAcentral describes it as "partial 16S ribosomal RNA". It matches the Rfam family "Bacterial small subunit ribosomal RNA", at positions 524 to 776 of the family's 1533-position model. The record is from RNAcentral.